Molecule: ribosomal RNA, 253 nt
Filed under: uncultured bacterium
Lineage: Bacteria
Description: partial 16S ribosomal RNA
Rfam family: Bacterial small subunit ribosomal RNA
Source: RNAcentral
UACGAGGGGGGCAAGUGUUGUUCGGAAUCACUGGGCGUAAAGGGAGCGUAGGCGGGCUUUUAAGUUGGAUGUUUAAAACCGGGGCCCAACCCCGGCGUGGCAUCCAAAACUGGAAGUCUUGAAUGGGACAGAGGCCAGUGGAAUUGGAGGUGUAGCGGUGGAAUGCGUAGAGAUCUCCAAGAACACCAGUUGCGAAGGCGGCUGGCUGGGUCCACAUUGACGCUGAGGCUCGAAAGCAUGGGGAGCAAACAGG